AAAGCACUUUCAGUCAGGAGGAAAGGGUGUGAGUUAAUACCUCACAUCUGUGACGUUACUGACAGAAGAAGCACCGGCUAACUCCGUGCCAGCAGCCGCGGUAAUACGGAGGGUGCGAGCGUUAAUCGGAAUUACUGGGCGUAAAGCGUACGCAGGCGGUUUGUUAAGCGAGAUGUGAAAGCCCCGGGCUCAACCUGGGAACUGCAUUUCGAACUGGCAAACUAGAGUGUGAUAGAGGGUGGUAGAAUUUCAGGUGUAGCGGUGAAAUGCGUAGAGAUCUGAAGGAAUACCGAUGGCGAAGGCAGCCACCUGGGUCAACACUGACGCUCAUGUACGAAAGCGUGGGGAGCAAACGGGAUUAGAUACCCCGGUAGUCCACGCCGUAAACGAUGUCUACUAGAAGCUCGGAACCUCGGNUCUGUUUUUCAAAGCUAACGCAUUAAGUAGACCGCCUGGGGAGUACGGCCGCAAGGUUAAAACUCAAUAUGAAUUGACGGGGGCCCGCAC
RNAcentral lists this ribosomal RNA (507 nucleotides) under Pseudoalteromonas sp. UST050418-027. RNAcentral describes it as "bacterial SSU rRNA". It matches the Rfam family "Bacterial small subunit ribosomal RNA", at positions 427 to 926 of the family's 1533-position model. The record is from RNAcentral. Lineage: Bacteria; Pseudomonadati; Pseudomonadota; Gammaproteobacteria; Alteromonadales; Pseudoalteromonadaceae.